Molecule: ribosomal RNA, 916 nt
Filed under: uncultured bacterium
Lineage: Bacteria
Description: bacterial SSU rRNA
Rfam family: Bacterial small subunit ribosomal RNA
Source: RNAcentral
UUGUUGGUGAGGUAAAAGCUUACCAAGGCUUCGAUCAGUAGCUGGUCUGAGAGGACGGCCAGCCACACUGGGACUGAGACACGGCCCAGACUCCUACGGGAGGCAGCAGUGGGGAAUUUUGGACAAUGGGGGCAACCCUGAUCCAGCCAUGCCGCGUGAGUGAAGAAGGCCUUCGGGUUGUAAAGCUCUUUCAGCCGGAACGAAACGGUUACGGUUAAUACCCGUGACUACUGACGGUACCGGAAGAAGAAGCACCGGCUAACUACGUGCCAGCAGCCGCGGUAAUACGCAGGGUGCAAGCGUUAAUCGGAAUUACUGGGCGUAAAGCGUGCGCAGGUGGUUUUGUAAGUCAGAUGUGAAAUCCCCGGGCUUAACCUGGGAACUGCGUUUGAAACUACAAGGCUAGAGUGUGGCAGAGGGGGGUGGAAUUCCGCGUGUAGCAGUGAAAUGCGUAGAUAUGUGGAGGAACACCGAUGGCGAAGGCAGCCCCCUGGGUCAACACUGACGCUCAGGCACGAAAGCAUGGGGAGCAAACAGGAUUAGAUACCCUGGUAGUCCAUGCCCUAAACGAUGUCAACUAGUUGUCGGGCCUUAACGGGCUUGGUAACGUAGCUAACGCGUGAAGUUGACCGCCUGGGGAGUACGAUCGCAAGAUUAAAACUCAAAGGAAUUGACGGGGACCCGCACAAGCGGUGGAUUAUGUGGAUUAAUUCGAUGCAACGCGAAAAACCUUACCUACCCUUGACAUGUAUCGAAGCCCGCAGAGAAGCGGGUGUGCCCGAAAGGGAACGAUAACACAGGUGCUGCAUGACUGUCGUCAGCUCGUGUCGUGAGAUGUUGGGUUAAGUCCCGCAACGAGCGCAACCCUUGUCAUUAAUUGCCAUCAUUUAGUUGGGCACUUUAAUGAGACUGCCGG